RNAcentral lists this ribosomal RNA (253 nucleotides) under uncultured bacterium. RNAcentral's name for it is "partial 16S ribosomal RNA". It matches the Rfam family "Bacterial small subunit ribosomal RNA", at positions 524 to 776 of the family's 1533-position model. The record is from RNAcentral.
UACGAAGGGGGCUAGCGUUGCUCGGAAUCACUGGGCGUAAAGCGCACGUAGGCGGAUUCUUAAGUCGGUGGUGAAAGCCUGGAGCUCAACUCCAGAACUGCCUUCGAUACUGAGAGUCUUGAGUCCGGGAGAGGUGAGUGGAACUGCGAGUGUAGAGGUGAAAUUCGUAGAUAUUCGCAAGAACACCAGUGGCGAAGGCGGCGCACUGGCCCGGUACUGACGCUGAGGUGCGAAAGCGUGGGGAGCAAACAGG